Acinonyx jubatus (cheetah) is the source of this 700-nucleotide long non-coding RNA. RefSeq lists it as uncharacterized. The transcript has 3 exons. NCBI's taxonomy places the organism in Eukaryota, Metazoa, Chordata, Mammalia, Carnivora, Felidae. The record is from RefSeq and is a predicted model, not a curated record.
UGAAAAUAAUUCAGCAAUGGCUCGAGGUAGUAGUGGUGGGUGGGGAAAGGCAGAGAGAAGUGGAUAAAGGCGAGGCUGCCGGCGCCUCGCAAAGACUAUUGCAGAAUCUUCUAAACCAGAGCUUUUGUUUAUAGAAGAAGCAAGAGUGACUAUAAACAUCAGGAGUAGAAGUUCAGUAGAGGUUUUCUAUUGGGAAAGGACAGAGUUCACUUUGCACAAGAAAUAGAAGUACUGAUCUUGGUCACCAGUGUGUUCAAGACGAAGAAUGAAUGCCUCUGGCACAAGAAUCCAAAUCCAUACAGGAGAGGAAUCAAGGUUUCCACUGGAGAGAGCCUUUGUUUACUCAUAACAAAUAAAUUAUGGAAUAUAUUCACUUAUCAAUUCCUAAUUGAACACAUUGUUUCCAUUAUGUGGUGGGGAAGCAUUUCUGGAGAGAAAUCAAGACUCUGUUCAGAGAAAAGAAGGCCCUGAGCUACUAAUUUUUCAGCAACCAAGUUAAUCUGCCUACCUGCCCUGGAAGAAAUUCUGUUCUUGUUCUUUUCCAGAGUAGAGCCACUGUUCUACAUGCUCUGCUUAAGACUGAUGUGCUCUUAAAUAGAAUGAAUUUCAUCUACUGCAGAGGCAAAGUCUAAAAAUAAAUUAGUGGACGGGGGAGAAAGUGUUCAAAGAACAAAUUAUGACUAUCCAUAGAAGAUAAGUA